AGUCGUAACAAGGUAUCCGUAGGUGAACCUGCGGAUGGAUCAUUAACAAAGGUGAUUUUGAAGUUGUGUGAACAGUUGGAGGUGGUGGUGGUGGUGGUAUUGGGUGGUAUUGGGUGGUAUUGGGUGGUAUUGGGUGGCAGUGUUUGUGGGUGGUGUAACCUUGGUCUAACCUUGGUCAACCUCACUCAACCUCACUCAACCUCACUCUCCCAACCUCACUCUCCCAACCUCCACCACUCCGUCCCUAUAAUGUAUACAAACUGAUGUCUGCUAGUUUCAAACUAAAACAACUUUUAGCAACGGAUCUCUUGGCUCUC
Molecule: unclassified non-coding RNA, 317 nt
Filed under: fungal sp.
Lineage: Eukaryota; Fungi
Description: partial internal transcribed spacer region
Rfam family: Eukaryotic small subunit ribosomal RNA (bases 1-45)
Source: RNAcentral